This 1126-nucleotide ribosomal RNA is filed under the name uncultured Neocallimastigales. RNAcentral describes it as "partial large subunit ribosomal RNA". The stretch from base 334 to 1126 matches the Rfam family "Eukaryotic large subunit ribosomal RNA", at positions 1 to 628 of the family's 3401-position model. The record is from RNAcentral. Lineage: Eukaryota; Fungi; Neocallimastigomycota; Neocallimastigomycetes; Neocallimastigales.
CGCAUCUGUGCAUGCAGCAUAUCAAUAAGCGGAGGAAAAGUACUACCUACGCUUAGGAUGUUGAAGAUGUAGCACAUCAUACACGCAUGACACACUGCAUAUCAAUAAGCGGAGGAAAAGGCUGCAGGAACUGAACGACCGCUACCUACGCUUAGGAUGUUGAAGAUGUAGCACAUCAUACACGCAUGACACACUGCAUAUCAAUAAGCGGAGGAAAAGUCAACUACCUACGCUUAGGAUGUUGAAGAUAUGCGCGACACGGCUCUAUACAUGACUCUGCGCAUAUCAAUAAGCGGAGGAAAAGUAAAUGGCUAUUACCUACGCUUAGGAUGUUGACACACGCGCGUGCUCGACUCUAUACAUGACUCUGUGCAUAUCAAUAAGCGGAGGAAAAGAAACUAACAAGGAUUCCCUCAGUAACGGCGAGUGAAGCGGGAAGAGCUCAAAUUUGAAAUCUUGAAAGGUCACCUUUCACGAAUUGUAGUUUAAAGAAGUGUUUUCUGUUACGAUCGUAAUAUAAGUUCUUUGGAAUAGGACAUCACAGAGGGCGAGAAUCCCGUCUAUGAUUGCGAUUUGUAGCUUUGUGAUACACUUUCAAAGAGUCGGGUUGUUUGGGAAUGCAGCCCAAAACGGGAGGUAAAUUUCUUCUAAGGCUAAAUAUUGGCGAGAGACCGAUAGCGAACAAGUACCGUGAGGGAAAGAUGAAAAGAACUUUGAAAAGAGAGUUAAAUAGUACGUGAAAUUGUCAAAAGGGAAGCGUUUAACACCAGUGUUGUUUUCUGAAAAUCAACCUCUGUUAGCUUUAUGCAUGUUUGUUUAGACCUAAUCAGCUAUCUUGCAUGUUCUAUUGUUUGCAGUGGUGCACUUUUCAGUUUACAGGUCAACAUCAGUUUUUUUUACCGUAAAAAAGUUAAAGAAAGGUAGCUCAUGGCUCCGGUCGUGAGUGUUAUAGUCUUUUUCCUAUGCGGUAGGAGAGACUGAGGUCUGCAGUGUAGGCUAUUUGGCUAGAUACUCAGGUGCUAUGUGAUACCAUUUCAUAAACAACUUGUUGAUUAUGUUUUGUCUAUUGCAUACUCGCUUGUACUAUCAUACCUACGCUUAGGAUGUUGAGUCGUAGAGCACGCAG